This 71-nucleotide transfer RNA is filed under the name Cordylochernes scorpioides. RNAcentral describes it as "tRNA-Gly". The record is from RNAcentral. Lineage: Eukaryota; Metazoa; Arthropoda; Arachnida; Pseudoscorpiones; Chernetidae.
UGCAUCGGCCGGGAAUCGAACCCUGGCCGCCCGCGUGGCAGGCGAGCAUUCUACCACCGAACCACCAAUGC